Molecule: long non-coding RNA, 2705 nt
Organism: Manis pentadactyla (Chinese pangolin)
Lineage: Eukaryota; Metazoa; Chordata; Mammalia; Pholidota; Manidae
Exons: 3
Source: RefSeq, a predicted model, not a curated record
AGAAGAGGGAACAAGCCCUAUAAGAUUCCUGCCUUGGGCUCAGCGCAGGACAGCACCAGGUGUUCGGAUCUUGAAAUUGCCCAGAAAGAGAGCAACCUUCCGCAGUCCCUUCAGAAGGCCCUGACCUCCUCCUGAGGGGACCCCAGACCAGGAACUCACCAUGAGAGAGCUUGCUGUCAAUGAAGCUUCUCAGCUUUUUACUGGCAUGAGCAAUUUGAAGUUUGGAUUGUGCAACUGGCACUGGGCUUCAGCACAUGGCCCAGCAAAAGCCUGGAAUGGACUCCCUCCCGAAGUUAAAUCCCUCCAGGAUGAAAUAAUCAUAGUCAUUUAAUCCUCUGGAUAUUCUGGGGAGAAAGAGGGACAGAAGGAGUCUUCCGGAAGCUGCUCUGCUGCAGAUCAAGCCUGACUACAUCUUUCCUGCUUUGCUGAGAUGAAAGCCUUCGCUCACUUCCCCAGGUACACAGCAAGCAGUAACAGUGGAAGAGGAACCUGGCCAUGUGGGCCCCUCGCCGUACUCCCCACACCAGGAGGUUGUGCAACCUCUGGCAUGUUCAUGUGACCGUUGGGCCACACAGAUGAAAAACCAGGACAAGACUGACCAGCCACGUUUCUGGAGUCGGGGGCUCCUCUGCGAGGGGCACCAUCUGGUGGGUGGAUUUUCCUAGGGAGACGCCCUCAGUCCUCUGUGGGGUGUGCCUAAACUCUCUCCCAACACCUGAGCCUCACCCUCCCCACCCCAAACUCUGAAGGUUCUUGCUCCAGCUUGCUCCGUACCAUCCCUCCUACCUGCAGAAACCCUGCAACCCUGGUUCUGAUGGGCUCUUAGGUUGCAGCAGCUCCCGGGGUCACUGCAGCAUAGGUGCAAGCUGCCCGGGUUGAUGGAAGAGUAGCUAAGCCACUGAAGGGAAAGGCGAUCUUCCUCUAAGCCUCUACUCGGGGCCUCACUCUGCAAAUGGGCUGGCUUAAAGCACACUGCUGGCACCAGGAGAGGGCUUAGGAUACACAGGAAACCCAGGUUCUGGGCCUGCUCCUCUGUCCUGGCCACGUCUGGUGGGCAGAAUCCUGAAGACCUUCCACUCAGAGUUCCUGUCUCCUGGUUAUUUAACUAAACGCGAAUCUAGGUGUUUCUGUGAGGGGGUUCCGAGGAUGGAAUUACAAGUCUGUUGCAGACUGCAUGUUUGUCUCCCAACCCCCAAAUCCCUAGAUUGAAGCCCCAACCCUCAAUGUAGUGAUAUUAGGAAGUGGGGCCUUUGGGAGGUAAUUAGGCUUGGAGGAGGUCAUAUGGAUGGAGCCUCAUGAUGGGACAGGGCCCCUUAAAGAGGAAGAAACACCACAGCUGCUUCUCCCUCUGCCACGUAAGGACACAGCAAAAAGGCAGCUGUCCGUAAGCCAGAAAGCAGGCUGUCUCGAGGACCCCAACCAGCCAGCACCUUGAUCUUCUAGCCUCCAGAGCUGUGAGAAACCAGUGUCUAUGAUUUAAGCUGCUCAGGCUGUGGUAUUUUGUUACACAGCCCAAACUAAGUCAGGUCCCACAUUAAGUGGACCUUAAGAUACAAAGAUUAUCCAGGUUGGCCUGGCCCCAUCAGAAGAACCCUCUAAAAGCAUAAAUUUUUCUUUGCCUGGUAGCAGAAGGGGAAGUCAGAGAAAUCUGAAGAGUGAGGGAGAUUCUGUGUGAGGGACAUGUGGCAUGGUGAUCCAGCCACCUGCUGCGUGUCAUGGGAGGGCCUGUGAACAGGAAGGAAAUGCAGGUGACUGCUAGGAUGAGGGCCAUCUGAAUGAGCUGGGGGAGCAGAUGACAACAGUCAGUGUGUGAGACCCCGAGCAGGAGACCUGGUUGAGCCAUGACAGACUUCUGACCUACAGAAACUGUGCAAUAAACAGGUAUUGUCUUAUAAGCCACCAAGUUUAUGUAACUUGUUACACCGUGAUAGCAAACUGGUAAUACCACAUGACCUAAAAGGGGCCACUUAAUCUUUCUGAGCCUCCAUUGCCUCAUCCAGAAAAUUCACAGGGCUGUUGUGGAUAAGAGGCCAUUGGGUGUGCAGACAAAGCCCUGGACUGGGGACCAGAAGGCCAGAAUCUGCUAUUUGUGCCACGUUGAGCAAGUCAUGUCACUUAGACUCAUUUUCCUCCCCUCUGCAAUUCAGGCAACAGCAGCUAUUUCUUGGUAACUGAGUAGUAGCCAGACAUAUAGCCACCCAGCCAGAUCACAGUUCCCAGAGCCCCUUGCAACUAGCUAUGGCCCCAUGACAAGGCUUCACCAAUGAACCAUAAGUGCAGGCAUAUAGGAUGCCAGGUGUGGGCCUUAAAACAUGCACAUGCCCUCUGGCUCUUGCCCCUUCCUAUGACUGGAAUACUGUGAUGCUGAGGUCAGCCACGGGGCUUCCACAUGCCAGCAAGGAACAUGACCUAUAGGUUGUGGAGAAAGAAGACGGAGAGAACCUGAGUGGCAGGUGUUGCUGGGUCACCUACUAAUCUGGCAUGCUUGUCUUUGAUGUUGGCUGGGGGAGAAAUAAACAUCUUAUGUUUCCUCAGAUCCACUGGCUAUUGGGGCAUCUUUGUUACAGCAGUCUAGUUCCUGGCUGAACCAAUACAAGCAACCACUACAGGGAAAAUAGGUCCAAGGGUCACAGGGAAAAUUUGGCAAUGCCCUAUAAGCAUUAGCCCAGCGUUUUGCUUUGUAAAACGGAGCUAUUAUAUGUGUC